UACGUAGGGUGCGAGCGUUAAUCGGAAUUACUGGGCGUAAAGUGUUCGCAGGCGGCAGAGCAAGUCGAGUGUGAAAGCCCCGGGCUUAACUUGGGAAUUGCGCUCGAAACUACUUUGCUGGAGUGUGGCAGAGGAAGGUGGAAUUCCACGUGUAGCGGUGAAAUGCGUAGAGAUGUGGAGGAACACCAAUGGCGAAGGCAGCCUUCUGGGCCAACACUGACGCUCAUGCACGAAAGCGUGGGGAGCAAACAGG
Molecule: ribosomal RNA, 253 nt
Filed under: uncultured bacterium
Lineage: Bacteria
Description: partial 16S ribosomal RNA
Rfam family: Bacterial small subunit ribosomal RNA
Source: RNAcentral